AGAAUCAACGCUGGCGGCGUGCCUCAGACAUGCAAGUCGUACGAUUAAGGCUCUCUUCGGAGAGUGCAUAAAGUGGCGUACGGGUGAGUAACACGUAAGUAAUCUACCUUUGAGUGGGAAUAACAGUCGGAAACGACUGCUAAUACCGCAUAAUGCAGCGGCUCGACAUCGAGACAGUUGUUAAAAGAAUUUAUUCGCUUAAAGAGGAGCUUGCGGCAGAUUAGCUAGUUGGUAAGGUAAUGGCUUACCAAGGCUACGAUCC
This 262-nucleotide ribosomal RNA is filed under the name uncultured bacterium. RNAcentral describes it as "partial small subunit ribosomal RNA". It matches the Rfam family "Bacterial small subunit ribosomal RNA", at positions 26 to 282 of the family's 1533-position model. The record is from RNAcentral.